CCUGGAGACUCCUACGGGAGGCAGCAGUGGGGAAUUUUGGACAAUGGGCGAAAGCCUGAUCCAGCAAUGCCGCGUGUGUGAUGAAGGCCUUCGGGUUGUAAAGCACUUUUGGCGGGAACGAAAAGGACUGUGCCAAUACCACGGUUCGAUGACGGUACCCGCAGAAUAAGCACCGGCUAACUACGUGCCAGCAGCCGCGGUAAUACGUAGGGUGCAAGCGUUAAUCGGAAUUACUGGGCGUAAAGAGUGCGCAGGCGGUUUUGCAAGACCGAUGUGAAAUCCCCGGGCUUAACCUGGGAACUGCAUUGGUGACUGCAAGGCUAGAGUGUGUCAGAGGGAGGUGGAAUUCCGCAUGUAGCAGUGAAAUGCGUAGAUAUGCGGAGGAACACCGAUGGCGAAGGCAGCCUCCUGGGAUAACACUGACGCUCAUGCACGAAAGCGUGGGGAGCAAACAGGAUUAGAUACCCUUGUAGUCCUGAGU
Molecule: ribosomal RNA, 481 nt
Filed under: uncultured bacterium
Lineage: Bacteria
Description: bacterial SSU rRNA
Rfam family: Bacterial small subunit ribosomal RNA
Source: RNAcentral